GGCUAGACGACGCUGGCGGCGUGCCUAAUACAUGCAAGUCGAACGAACUCUGGUAUUGAUUGGUGCUUGCAUCAUGAUUUACAUUUGAGUGAGUGGCGAACUGGUGAGUAACACGUGGGAAACCUGCCCAGAAGCGGGGGAUAACACCUGGAAACAGAUGCUAAUACCGCAUAACAACUUGGACCGCAUGGUCCGAGUUUGAAAGAUGGCUUCGGCUAUCACUUUUGGAUGGUCCCGCGGCGUAUUAGCUAGAUGGUGGGGUAACGGCUCACCAUGGCAAUGAUACGUAGCCGACCUGAGAGGGUAAUCGGCCACAUUGGGACUGAGACACGGCCCAAACUCCUACGGGAGGCAGCAGUAGGGAAUCUUCCACAAUGGACGAAAGUCUGAUGGAGCAACGCCGCGUGAGUGAAGAAGGGUUUCGGCUCGUAAAACUCUGUUGUUAAAGAAGAACAUAUCUGAGAGUAACUGUUCAGGUAUUGACGGUAUUUAACCAGAAAGCCACGGCUAACUACGUGCCAGCAGCCGCGGUAAUACGUAGGUGGCAAGCGUUGUCCGGAUUUAUUGGGCGUAAAGCGAGCGCAGGCGGUUUUUUAAGUCUGAUGUGAAAGCCUUUCGGCUCAACCGAAGAAGUGCAUCGGAAACUGGGAAACUUGAGUGCAGAAGAGGACAGUGGAACUCCAUGUGUAGCGGUGAAAUGCGUAGAUAUAUGGAAGAACACCAGUGGCGAAGGCGGCUGUCUGGUCUGUAACUGACGCUGAGGCUCGAAAGUAUGGGUAGCAAACAGGAUUAGAUACCCUGGUAGUCCAUACCGUAAACGAUGAAUGCUAAGUGUUGGAGGGUUUCCGCCCUUCAGGUGCUGCAGCUAACGCAUUAAGGCAUUCCGCCUGGGGAGUACGGCCGCAAGGCUGAAACUCAAAGGAAUUGACGGGGGCCCGCACAAGCGGUGGAGCAUGUGGUUUAAUUCGAAGCUACGCGAAGAACCUUACCAGGUCUUGAACAUACUAUGCAAAUCUAAGAGAUUAGACGUUCCCUUCGGGGACAUGGAUACAGGUGGUGCAUGGUUGUCGUCAGCUCGUGUCGUGAGAUGUUGGGUUAAGUCCCGCAACGAGCGCAACCCUUAUUAUCAGUUGCCAGCAUUAAGUUGGGCACUCUGGUGAGACUGCCGGUGACAAACCGGAGGAAGGUGGGGAUGACGUCAAAUCAUCAUGCCCCUUAUGACCUGGGCUACACACGUGCUACAAUGGAUGGUACAACGAGUUGCGAACUCGCGAGAGUAAGCUAAUCUCUUAAAGCCAUUCUCAGUUCGGAUUGUAGGCUGCAACUCGCCUACAUGAAGUCGGAAUCGCUAGUAAUCGCGGAUCAGCAUGCCGCGGUGAAUACGUUCCCGGGCCUUGUACACACCGCCCGUCACACCAUGAGAGUUUGUAACACCCAAAGUCGGUGGGGUAACCUUUUAGGAACCAGCCGCCUAAGGUGGGACAGAUGAUUAGGGGAAGUCGAAACC
RNAcentral lists this ribosomal RNA (1507 nucleotides) under Lactiplantibacillus pentosus. RNAcentral's name for it is "bacterial SSU rRNA". It matches the Rfam family "Bacterial small subunit ribosomal RNA". The record is from RNAcentral. Lineage: Bacteria; Bacillati; Bacillota; Bacilli; Lactobacillales; Lactobacillaceae.